UUCAUGCGAGCGGCUUUAAUGGAGCCCUGAGCUGAGCGGUGAGGAGCACCCGAGCUGAGACCCCUGGAACUGAAGAUCUGCAUGCAGUGCAUCUCUGUGUGCCUUUCCACACAUCGAAGACUCAGUCUGCUACGCUAACGAGGUCACUCGAGGGCCAGAAGUACCGACGCCGGAUUCCGUUUUACAGAACAUUCACAGACAUGGGAAGUGGAGAAUCCAAAGAAGGUUCACUUCCAAAGGACUGACAAUGAGAAGAAG
This is a long non-coding RNA of Polypterus senegalus (gray bichir), 258 nucleotides long. RefSeq lists it as uncharacterized. Lineage: Eukaryota; Metazoa; Chordata; Cladistia; Polypteriformes; Polypteridae. The record is from RefSeq and is a predicted model, not a curated record. The transcript is spliced from 4 exons.